AUUAAUAAUUCAAAGCAAAAAAGGCUUAUUACAUCUGAAUUGUCAAAAAAUGACAGCUGUCAGAAUUCCGUCGAAUUAAAAAUCGGACUAUAGUGUAAAUUAUAGUUUAUUUAUUAAUUAUGUUAUGUCUAAAAGGGCCAGUCACUUUAUGCUUUAUUUUAGGAGAAAUUAUAAUUUUUAAUUUUUUCAUACUACAUUACUCCUAACUAUAUGACUUUUAAUAAAGUAUAAAACUUAUAACCUUAACAUUUAUAGAUAAGUUAAAUACUUCAUAUAGUUGUUUUGUUAUUAUCGCUAUAUAAAAAAUGUCAUUCCCUAACUAGUAACUUAGUCCCUAGCGCCGUUUAAAGCUAGAGCCUGACGGUCUAGGGACUGACGAUUUGGAGUAAAACUUAACACAAAUGCAGAUUAACUUUAUAAUAUAAGAUGCUUAAUACGAUGUGCCGAAAAUAGCCGAAAAACCACACGUAAAUACCAUUAAAUUAUAUACAAUUUCCUAUUGUAAUCAAUAAAGGUACUCAACUAGGGACUGACGAAGUGACUGGAUCAACACAUGUUUCCGCAACAACUGGCACGUUUGCACUAAUUCAAAAAACGGCUGCCGCAAAGCCAGUAUGGUCUGAGUAUAACUUCGUAUCGUACUUUAAACUCAACUAAAUGUCAUUCACUCUAAAUACAUAUAAAAGCGCAAAUAUAUAAAAUCAGUGCGUGGCGAGGGAAUGACGCUAAAAACUGUGGACUCUUUUUUAACUAAAGAAAAUCAAAUUAUUGUUUAUUGAAACUGCAAAAUAUUAAUAGAAUUUGGUGUUAUUCGUUACUUAAAACAAAGGAUGAAGUUGAUGUUUCUGUUAAUAUGGGUUCCAAAAUACAAACUUUUGGAGUACGGACAUGCCUAGGGAAUGACGAUUUGGGUCAUUUAAAAGGAAUUUAAGAUGUUUGAAAAAUAGUUUAAAAAAAUAUAAAUAGGUGAUGAAUAAAACACAUUGCGAGCUGUUAUUUAACCAUUUUGGAAUAAAAUAUUAACAAAUAUUCCAUGUGAAAUGUGGCGCGGACUAAGAGUUGACAUAUUUUUGUGGAAUGACCCAAAAAUAAGUUGUACCUACCAUUCGUAGUUUUGUGUAGGUACCUUGGUAAAUGGGAAAAUAUUCGGUGACUGGUAUUUUAUUUUAACUUCAGUGACAGUGUUUAAACCGUCUGCUAAAAAUAUAUAAAAACUGAUGCAAUAAAGGUGCUUUACAUUAUAUCGAUAAAAUAAAUUCAUUUUUUUAAAUGGCUGUGAUAAAAGCAUAACUUAAUGUGAUCAAGGUUAUCCGGAUAAUAAUAUUAAUAAGCUACUUAUUGAGCUCGAUUUCUAAAUUGUUAAUUAUGUAUGUUAGUAAUAUAGGAAACGUCUACUACUUAGAUCGGGAAUGAAAAGAAAAUAAAUUGAUUUUAUUUAAAAUUUUGUCAUUAAUUAACAAUUUUGAAUCGGAACCAAUUUCAAAGCUUUUGAUCAGCUCGGUUUACUACUUUUAUGUAUAUUAUCAUUGCCCAUGUAAUUGAGAGAAAUAAAUAAAUGGACACAG
Ostrinia nubilalis (European corn borer) is the source of this 1565-nucleotide long non-coding RNA. RefSeq lists it as uncharacterized. Lineage: Eukaryota; Metazoa; Arthropoda; Insecta; Lepidoptera; Crambidae. The record is from RefSeq and is a predicted model, not a curated record. The transcript has 2 exons.